This 301-nucleotide ribosomal RNA is filed under the name uncultured bacterium. RNAcentral describes it as "partial 16S ribosomal RNA". It matches the Rfam family "Bacterial small subunit ribosomal RNA", at positions 509 to 807 of the family's 1533-position model. The record is from RNAcentral.
CAGCAGCCGCGGGAAUACGAGGGGAGCUAGCGUUAAUCGGAAUUACUGGGCGUAAAGCGUGCGUAGGCGGUGAGUUAAGUCUGCUGUGAAAUCCCCGGGCUCAACCUGGGAAUGGCAGUGGAUACUGGCUCGCUAGAGUGUGUCAGAGGAUGGUGGAAUUCCCGGUGUAGCGGUGAAAUGCGUAGAGAUCGGGAGGAACAUCAGUGGCGAAGGCGGCCAUCUGGGACAACACUGACGCUGAGGCACGAAAGCGUGGGGAGCAAACAGGAUUAGAUACCCCAGUAGUCCCUGUCUCUUAUAC